UAGAGAUUGAUACCAAAGCCC
RNAcentral lists this non-coding RNA (21 nucleotides) under Arabidopsis thaliana (thale cress). Lineage: Eukaryota; Viridiplantae; Streptophyta; Magnoliopsida; Brassicales; Brassicaceae. The record is from RNAcentral.